UUUUGCGAUAGUUUUCUCUUAGUAUCAAAGCAAAAUUUUGAAUUCUUUACAUUUUGAUCAAAACUGAUGAGCACUAAUAAUAACUUAUGAUGGUAGUCUACAGUAUGUUGUAACAAUUUUUGUUUUUUGAUAACCCAGGUAUCCCAAGCUUGCGCUUGGACUAGCCACGUGGGCGGCCAUAGGGCACUCCACGUGUUGGCUUCUGGAACGCUGCAGCCCGUAUGUGAAAUCCGCAGUGGCCGGGGCUCAAACUCG
RNAcentral lists this long non-coding RNA (255 nucleotides) under Capsella rubella. RNAcentral's name for it is "long non-coding RNA (CRUB_LNC003149)". The record is from RNAcentral. Lineage: Eukaryota; Viridiplantae; Streptophyta; Magnoliopsida; Brassicales; Brassicaceae.